UGUGGGGGUCCCACGGUGCCAGCUCCCACCAUUCCGGUGCAGUGGGAAUGCUCCCAGCAUCCUUCAGGGACAUGCAAAGCCCUGCUUCAACCAAGGAGGUACCGUGCCUUGUUCCUGGCAAAAUUCUCCUCUUUCCACUGCAUGGGUCUUGGAGGCGUUUUUGUUCCUGCUUUGCAUGGAUGGAGAUUGGAGAGACGUGAGAGGAAGGUGCUCCUUUUGUGCCUGAGGAGCAUCCCCUUGGACCAGGAUAACGGCAGAAACAUCCAUAGCAAGGGCAAAUCCAUGCAGGAGCCAGGCAGCUUCCCUGAGCAUCCCAUCAGUGCAGGCAGCAGGACCCCAGCCCUGCCACAGGACCUCAAACCACACGGACCCCAUCACAUUUCCAUUUUGAAACCUCAGCUGUAUUCAAAGAGUCUUUGGCAUUAAUAUUAAUAUUAUUUAUUAUAAUAAAGAACAGUCAAGCA
This is a long non-coding RNA of Pezoporus occidentalis (night parrot), 464 nucleotides long. RefSeq lists it as uncharacterized. The transcript has 3 exons. NCBI's taxonomy places the organism in Eukaryota, Metazoa, Chordata, Aves, Psittaciformes, Psittacidae. The record is from RefSeq and is a predicted model, not a curated record.